CUACGGGCGGCUCCAGUCGAGAAUCUUCCGCAAUGGACGAAAGUCUGACGGAGCGACGCCGCGUGCGGGAUGAAGGCCUUCGGGUUGUAAACCGCUGUCAGUGGGGAGGAAAUGCAUCAGGGUUCUCCCUGGUGUUUGACCGAUCCGCAGAGGAAGCGCAGGCUAAGUUCGUGCCAGCAGCCGCGGUAACACGAACUGCGCGAACGUUAUUCGGAAUCACUGGGCUUAAAGAGUUCGUAGGCGGCCUUUCAAGUCGGGUGUGAAAUCCCUCGGCUCAACCGAGGAAUUGCGCCUGAUACUGUUGGGCUUGAGGGGGAUAGGGGUGAGCGGAACUGAUGGUGGAGCGGUGAAAUGCGUUGAUAUCAUCAGGAACACCGGUGGCGAAGGCGGCCCACUGGAUCUCUUCUGACGCUGAGGAACGAAAGCUAGGGGAGCGAACGGGAUUAGAUACCCCCGUAGUC
This 461-nucleotide ribosomal RNA is filed under the name uncultured bacterium. RNAcentral's name for it is "partial 16S ribosomal RNA". It matches the Rfam family "Bacterial small subunit ribosomal RNA", at positions 339 to 795 of the family's 1533-position model. The record is from RNAcentral.